RNAcentral lists this ribosomal RNA (348 nucleotides) under uncultured Streptococcus sp. RNAcentral's name for it is "bacterial SSU rRNA". It matches the Rfam family "Bacterial small subunit ribosomal RNA", at positions 1033 to 1382 of the family's 1533-position model. Lineage: Bacteria; Bacillati; Bacillota; Bacilli; Lactobacillales; Streptococcaceae. The record is from RNAcentral.
GACAGGUGGUGCAUGGUUGUCGUCAGCUCGUGUCGUGAGAUGUUGGGUUAAGUCCCGCAACGAGCGCAACCCCUAUUGUUAGUUGCCAUCAUUCAGUUGGGCACUCUAGCGAGACUGCCGGUAAUAAACCGGAGGAAGGUGGGGAUGACGUCAAAUCAUCACGCCCCUUAUGACCUGGGCUACACACGUGCUACAAUGGUUGGUACAACGAGUUGCGAGUCGGUGACGGCGAGCUAAUCUCUUAAAGCCAAUCUCAGUUCGGAUUGUAGGCUGCAACUCGCCUACAUGAAGUCGGAAUCGCUAGUAAUCGCGGAUCAGCACGCCGCGGUGAAUACGUUCCCGGGCCUU